Non-coding RNA from Podarcis lilfordi (Lilford's wall lizard), 73 nucleotides. NCBI's taxonomy places the organism in Eukaryota, Metazoa, Chordata, Lepidosauria, Squamata, Lacertidae. The record is from the annotation of a GenBank genome assembly.
GCAGGACAUAGCUCAGUCGGUAGAGCAUGAGACUCAAAUCUCAGGAUCGUGGGUUCCAGCCCCAUGUUGGGCA